RNAcentral lists this transfer RNA (83 nucleotides) under Oscillospiraceae bacterium. RNAcentral's name for it is "tRNA-Leu". It matches the Rfam family "tRNA". From Rfam's summary of the family: Transfer RNA (tRNA) molecules are approximately 80 nucleotides in length. Lineage: Bacteria; Bacillati; Bacillota; Clostridia; Eubacteriales; Oscillospiraceae. The record is from RNAcentral.
GCGGGUAUGGUGAAAUUGGUAAACACGCUGGAUUUAGGUUCCAGUGCUCACGCUUGCGGGUUCGAGUCCCGCUACCCGUACCA